GGUUACUGCUAUCGAGGUUCGACUAAGCCAUGCGAGUCGAAUGUAGCAAUACAUGGCGUACUGCUCAGUAACACGUGGACAACCUACCCUUAGGCCUGGGAUAACCCCGGGAAACUGGGAAUAAUACCGGAUAUCUCGCGAAUGCUGGAAUGCGUCGCGAUAGAAAGCUCCGGCGCCUAAGGAUGGGUCUGCGGCCUAUCAGGUAGUAGUGGGUGUAACGUACCUACUAGCCUACGACGGGUACAGGUUGUGAGAGCAAGAGCCCGGAGAUGGAUUCUGAGACACGAAUCCAGGCCCUACGGGGUGCAGCAGGCGCGAAAACUUUACAAUGCUGGAAACAGCGAUAAGGGGACCUCGAGUGCCAGGAUACAAUCCUGGCUGUCGUAAUGCCUAAAAAGCAUUGCAUACAAGGGCCGGGCAAGACCGGUGCCAGCCGCCGCGGUAACACCGGCGGCUCGAGUGGUAACCGCUAUUAUUGGGUCUAAAGGGUCUGUAGCCGGCUGACUAAGUCUCUUGGGAAAUCUGACAGCUUAACUGUCAGGCUUUCAAGAGAUACUGAUCGGCUCGAGACCGGGAGAGGUGAGAGGUACCUCAGGGGUAGGGGUGAAAUCUUGUAAUCCUUGAGGGACCACCAGUGGCGAAGGCGUCUCACCAGAACGGAUCUGACGGCAAGGGACGAGAGCUAGGGGCACGAACCGGAUUAGAUACCCGGGUAGUCCUAGCCGUAAACGAU
Molecule: ribosomal RNA, 733 nt
Filed under: uncultured archaeon
Lineage: Archaea
Description: bacterial SSU rRNA
Rfam family: Archaeal small subunit ribosomal RNA
Source: RNAcentral